RNAcentral lists this non-coding RNA (24 nucleotides) under Mus musculus (house mouse). The record is from RNAcentral. Lineage: Eukaryota; Metazoa; Chordata; Mammalia; Rodentia; Muridae.
UGAAUGCUAACUGCUCGGGAUUGG